This 253-nucleotide ribosomal RNA is filed under the name uncultured bacterium. RNAcentral describes it as "partial 16S ribosomal RNA". It matches the Rfam family "Bacterial small subunit ribosomal RNA", at positions 524 to 776 of the family's 1533-position model. The record is from RNAcentral.
UACGGGGGGUGCGAGCGUUGUCCGGAAUCACUGGGCGUAAAGGGCGCGUAGGUGGUUUGAUAAGGGUGUGGUGAAAGUCCGGGGCUCAACCCCGGAUCUGCCGUGCCGACUGUCAAACUCGAGGGCUGUAGAGGCAGACGGAAUUCCGGGUGUAGCGGUGGAAUGCGUAGAGAUCCGGAGGAACACCGGUGGCGAAGGCGGUUCUCUGGGCAUUACCUGACGCUGAGGAGCGAAAGUGUGGGGAGCGAACAGG